CAAAGGAGCAAUCCGCUGAGAGAGGGGCUCGCGUCCCAUUAGAUUGAUGGCGGGGUAACGGCCCACCAUGUCAACGAUGGGUAGCCGAGCUGAGAGGCUGAUCGGCCACACUGGAACUGAGACACGGUCCAGACUCCUACGGGAGGCAGCAGUGGGGAAUAUUGGGCAAUGGGCGAAAGCCUGACGCAGCAACGCCGCGUGAGGGAAGAAGGUUUUCGGGUUGUAAACUUCUUUGAUGGGGGACGAAACAAAUGACGGUACCCCAAAAACAAGCAUCGGCUAACUCCGUGCCAGCAGCCGCGGUAAUACGGAGGAUGCAAGCGUUAUCCGGAUUCAUUGGGUUUAAAGGGUGCGCAGGUGGGAAAAUAAGUCAGUGGUGAAAUACUGCCGCUUAACGGUAGAAUUGCCAUUGAUACUGUUUUUCUUGAGUAUGGUUGAGGUAGGUGGAAUGUGUUGUGUAGCGGUGAAAUGCGUAGAUAUUAGGAGGAACACCAGUGGCGAAGGCGACUUCCUGGCUUGUAACUGACACUGAGGCGCGAAAGCGUGGGGAUCAAACAGGAUUAGAUACCCUGGUAGUCCACGCCGUAAACGAUGAGUGCUAGGUGUCGGGGGUAUCGACCCCCUCGGUGCCACAGCUAACGCAAUAAGCACUCCGCCUGGGGAGUACGGUCGCAAGACUGAAACUCAAAGGAAUUGACGGGGGCCCGCACAAGCGGUGGAGUAUGUGGUUUAAUUCGACGCAACGCGAAGAACCUUACCAAGGCUUGACAUCCUGUGACAGCUAUAGAAAUACAGUGUGCCUUCGGGGGCACGGAGACAGGUGGUGCAUGGUUGUCGUCAGCUCGUGUCGUGAGAUGUUGGGUUAAGUCCCGCAACGAGCGCAACCCUUAUUGCUAGUUGCCAUCAUUAAGUUGGGCACUCUAGUGAGACUGCCGGAGACAAUUCGGAGGAAGGUGGGGAUGACGUCAAAUCAUCAUGCCCCUUAUGUUCUGGGCUACACACGUGCUACAAUGGGUGUAACAACGGGAAGCAACAUCGCGAGGUGAAGCGAAUCCCAAAAUUCACCCUCAGUUCGGAUUGUAGGCUGAAACCCGCCUACAUGAAGUCGGAAUCGCUAGUAAUCGCAGGUCAGCAUACUGCGGUGAAUACGUUCCCGGGCCUUGUACACACCGCCCGUCACACCACGAAAGUCU
This 1193-nucleotide ribosomal RNA is filed under the name uncultured bacterium. RNAcentral's name for it is "bacterial SSU rRNA". It matches the Rfam family "Bacterial small subunit ribosomal RNA", at positions 202 to 1413 of the family's 1533-position model. The record is from RNAcentral.